RNAcentral lists this ribosomal RNA (403 nucleotides) under uncultured soil bacterium. Its description in RNAcentral is "bacterial SSU rRNA". It matches the Rfam family "Bacterial small subunit ribosomal RNA", at positions 26 to 418 of the family's 1533-position model. The record is from RNAcentral.
AGAGCGAACGCUGGCGGCGUGCCUAACACAUGCAAGUCGAACGUGAAAUGGAGCAAUCCAGAGUAAAGUGGCGUACGGGUGAGUAACACGUAGGUAAUCUACCCCAGAGUCUGGAAUAACCGGCCGAAAGGCUGGCUAAUACUGGAUAGAGCGACGGAAUCCGUAAUUGGGUUUUUCGGGAAAGGGAGGACGUAAGUCCCCUCGCUUUGGGAUGAGCCUGCGUCUCAUUAGGUAGUUGGUGAGGUAACGGCUCACCAAGCCUUUGAUGGGUAGCUGGUCUGAGAGGAUGAUCAGCCACACUGGAACUGAAACACGGUCCAGACUCCUACGGGAGCAGCAGUGGGAAUCUUGCGCAAUGGAACGAAGUCUGACGCAGCCACGCCGCGUGAGUGAAGAAGGCCUU